AACGAACGCUGGCGGAAUGCUUUACACAUGCAAGUCGAACGGCAGCACGGACUUCGGUCUGGUGGCGAGUGGCGAACGGGUGAGUAAUGUAUCGGAACGUGCCCAGUCGUGGGGGAUAACGUAGUGAAAAUUACGCUAAUACCGCAUACGAUCUAUGGAUGAAAGCGGGGGAUCGCAAGACCUCGCGCGAUUGGAGCGGCCGAUAUCAGAUUAGGUAGUUGGUGGGGUAAAGGCCCACCAAGCCAACGAUCUGUAGCUGGUCUGAGAGGACGACCAGCCACACUGGAACUGAGACACGGUCCAGACUCCUACGGGAGGCAGCAGUGGGGAAUUUUGGACAAUGGGCGAAAGCCUGAUCCAGCCAUUCCGCGUGCAGGAUGAAGGCCCUCGGGUUGUAAACUGCUUUUGUACAGAACGAAAAGGUUUCUACUAAUACUAGGAGCUCAUGACGGUACUGUAAGAAUAAGCACCGGCUAACUACGUGCCAGCAGCCGCAGUAA
Molecule: ribosomal RNA, 500 nt
Filed under: uncultured bacterium
Lineage: Bacteria
Description: partial 16S ribosomal RNA
Rfam family: Bacterial small subunit ribosomal RNA
Source: RNAcentral